Molecule: ribosomal RNA, 253 nt
Filed under: uncultured prokaryote
Description: partial 16S ribosomal RNA
Rfam family: Bacterial small subunit ribosomal RNA
Source: RNAcentral
ACGAAUGGGGCAAGCGUUGUUCGGAAUCACUGGGCUUAAAGCGUGCGCAGGCGGUCUUGAAAGUCAGGAGUGAAAUCCCAGGGCUCAACCCUGGAAUUGCUUUUGAAACUCCAAGACUAGAAUACUGGAGAGGUUAGCAGAAUUCCGAGUGUAGAGGUGAAAUUCGCAGAUAUUCGGAGGAAUACCAAUGGCGAAGGCAGCUAACUGGACAGUCAUUGACGCUCAGGCACGAAAGCGUGGGUAGCAAACGGGA